CCUACGGGUGGCAGCAGUGGGGAAUAUUGCACAAUGGGGGAAACUCUGAUGCAGCGACGCCGCGUGAGUGAAGAAGUAUUUCGGUACGUAAAGCUCUAUCAGCAGGGAAGAAAAUGACGGUACCUGACUAAGAAGCCCCGGCCAACAACGUGCCAGUAGCCGCGGUAAUACGUGGGGGGCAGGCGUUCUCCGGAUUUACUGGGGGUAAAGGGAGGGUAGAAGGCAGCUCAAGUCUGGAGUGAAAUACCGAGGCUUAACCAUGGAACUGCUUUGGAAACUGUGCAGCUGGAGUGCAGGAGAGGUAAGUGGAAUUCCUAGUGUAGCGGUGAAAUGCGUAGAUAUUAGGAGGAACACCAGUGGCGAAGGCGGCUUACUGGACUGUAACUGACGUUGAGGCUCGAAAGCGUGGGGAGCAAACAGGAUUAGAUACCCGAGUAGUC
This 440-nucleotide ribosomal RNA is filed under the name uncultured bacterium. RNAcentral's name for it is "partial 16S ribosomal RNA". It matches the Rfam family "Bacterial small subunit ribosomal RNA", at positions 338 to 795 of the family's 1533-position model. The record is from RNAcentral.